GACGAACGCUGGCGGCGUGCUUAACACAUGCAAGUCGAACGGAAAGGCCCUGCUUUUGCGGGGUGCUCGAGUGGCGAAGGGGUGAGUAAAACGUGUGUAACCUGUCCUUGAAUUUGGGAUAACUUCAGGAAACUGGGGCUAAUAUAGGAUAGGAGAUCCUGCUGCAUGGUGGGGGUUGGAAAGAUUCGGCGGUUAGGGAUGGACUAGCGGCUUAUCAGCUGGUUGGUGGGGUAGGGGCUUACCAAGGUUUUGACGGGUAGGCGGCCUGGGAGGGUGACCGGCCACAUUGGUACUGAGAUACGGCCCAGUCUCCAACGGGCGGCAGCAGUGGAAAAUCUUACACAGUAGGCGGGAGCCAGUUGCAGCGGCGCCGCGUGCGUGAUAACCUCCUUCGGGUUAUAAACCGCUUUCUCCUGUGACGUGGCGUUAGUGACGGUAAUUAGUAAAAAAGCACCGGCUAACUACGUG
This 468-nucleotide ribosomal RNA is filed under the name uncultured bacterium. Its description in RNAcentral is "partial 16S ribosomal RNA". It matches the Rfam family "Bacterial small subunit ribosomal RNA", at positions 28 to 507 of the family's 1533-position model. The record is from RNAcentral.